This 253-nucleotide ribosomal RNA is filed under the name uncultured bacterium. RNAcentral describes it as "partial 16S ribosomal RNA". It matches the Rfam family "Bacterial small subunit ribosomal RNA", at positions 524 to 776 of the family's 1533-position model. The record is from RNAcentral.
UACGGAGGGUGCAAGCGUUAUCCGGAUUCACUGGGUUUAAAGGGUGCGUAGGUGGGCAGGUAAGUCAGUGGUGAAAUCUCUGGGCUUAACCCGGAAACUGCCAUUGAUACUGGAGAGCUUGAGUCCGGAAGAGGUGAGUGGAACUCCGAGUGUAGAGGUGAAAUUCGUAGAUAUUCGGAAGAACACCAGUGGCGAAGGCGGCUCACUGGUCCGGUACUGACGCUGAUGUGCGAAAGCGUGGGGAGCAAACAGG